GCGGUCCUUGGCCAGGAAGUCGCCGGUCUCGCAGAUCGGGCCGACCAGGUCGUAGGCUCGUGGCUCGGCAUCGCGCGGCUGCAC
RNAcentral lists this transfer RNA (84 nucleotides) under compost metagenome. RNAcentral describes it as "tRNA-Ala". The record is from RNAcentral.